This 3164-nucleotide long non-coding RNA is filed under the name Triticum aestivum (bread wheat). RNAcentral's name for it is "long non-coding RNA (TAES_LNC002989)". Lineage: Eukaryota; Viridiplantae; Streptophyta; Magnoliopsida; Poales; Poaceae. The record is from RNAcentral.
CCAGUGUUUGAAAAUCAUCAUCCUCUGAAAGUGUUGCUCAUCCACAGCCACCGAAGCUCUGCUUUUAGUGCUGUCAUUCAGAUUCAGAGAUGAAGGAAAAACAGCUGAUGGUAAGUUUCCGAGCAUAAUCACAAAAUCUUUUGUUCAUUUUUUAUAUACAUGCUUGAGCACACAUCAGGAGGAUCAAGAAGUUGGUAAUACCUUUGAAUCACCUUCGCCCCUCCUGCAUGCUGAACAUGUGCAGGUGGACUUGUUGCUCCAUGUUCUGCAGCUGCAAGCGCAUAUUCAGUUCACUGCCUGUUUUUGCUAACUAAUGUGCCAAUGGAAGCAUGCAUGGUUUGGCUAUAUGAAGUUCAUCAAAUCAUAAAAGAGUAAAUAGGUGUUGGAUUUAGAGUGCUAGCUCGUAUACUCUAGCACGCGAAGCACGUACGUGCAAGCUAACUUCAACAAAGUAGACUAGUUGCUUAAUUGAUUCUUUGUUAUCUAGAAGUACUUGGACCUGCAGUCUCACGUAUACGUACGAGCUUAGCAGAGCUAGCUAAGCUAGCGACCGAUCAAUCCUACUUCUUGCGGCAGACCGUAGGGACUUCGUAACUCAGCGAACUAAAAAACGAUGGAUAUUUUGUGGAUAGCCAGAGGGGUGUGUCGCUCCUGGCUUUCUUUGUAUUGAUAUAUUUUGGAUCUCAUUUUUGUUUUGAUGAAUUGAUAUAUAAUGAUGUUUGAUCUGCUUCUGCUUGAUUCCUUACUUGUUGUAGGACUUUGGAGUCACGUAGAUUUUGCUUGUUGUGGCAUUGCUUGAAUUUGGGUUAUUGGAUAGCUAGAGCUACGUAGGAUUUCUUCUAAUUUACUCCAGGAGACGAAGACCACGCUUCAUGAAUUCAGGUGCUCUCUCUCAUAUUUCUUGUAACAAUGUUGCCUAAAAGGCAUUUAUCUGGUUGUGACAAAAUAAAAGAAAGAAGAAACUUGUAGACAAAAUCAUUGGAGCUUGUAUCCAAAUCCUAUAAUUAUAUACUCUCUCUGCUCCCAGGGCAGCGUCGAGGUGGUCAUGUGGGAUCCUGUCGAACAGCUCGUGCUCGCUGUCGACUUCGAUGGCAGGGUCACCCGCUCCAUCGGCCUCCUCUCCGGCAGGAUGUACUACUCAGAUUUCAUCCCCUACUUCAACUCAUACACAGAGAUCUACAUGUACUACUCGGAUUAAACUCUGUUCUACUGUACAAUUACACACGAAAGCUGUCUUACCGUAUUGUUGGAUCUGUUAAUCACUGCCCACAUGUUAGAUCGGUUUGAUUUUGAGAUGCAGCGAGACUUUGAUGUUUCUGAAUUCUAAUGUGAAAUCAUGUCUACGUCAGUUGAACUUUGCUCGACUUCCUGUAGAUCGAUGGUGAUAUCAACAUGCAUCCUAAUUGCCAAUCUCGAGUCUGCACUUCUAUACGUUUUUGAUGUGAAACACUUAUGCAUGACUAGUUGUUAAGUUUGUACAAUUUCUUUGGUAGACAAGCAUGGAAAUAUGUACCAACUUUAGUGAAAACUGAGCUUUUCUUAACUAAUCAAGAACUCCCUCAUUAUGUGAAACACCUAUGCAUAUGACUAAUUCUGCACGACAAUUCUGUUCAAUUUGGAUUUCUUUGGUAGUCAAUUAUGUUCAAUUGUGAAACACCUCCUGCAUAUGACUGUGAAAGCAUGUCUACAUCAGUACAACUUUGCAUGCAUAUUUUAUUGACUAGAUAUAUACGUGUUGACUAUUGGUCUGUUCCUAUGUACCACAUAUUGUGUAAUGUAGUUUGCUUGUAUGGUGUUAGUGAAAAUGUUUGUAUGAAAAUAAUUGACAUUGGUGACAGCUUACAUGGCCAUUAGAAAUGCGGAAGCGUACAACAGCUGCGGCCGCCCAUGCCCUGCAUCUCCUGGUCUCUCUAUACCCUGCCUGCAUACUGUCUGUUUGUGAUUUUUCUAGCAAGUAUCUGUUCAUGAGAAAUAAGCUUCCCAUGAUUCACAGGACCAACAACUACUUGUUCUAGCACGUUUAUUUCAAACAAUUUGUGAUUCAUGCUGUUUGAUGAACGAGUAUCCAUGUCGGGAGACUAGCAGAACUUAUAAACUUUAGUUUUCUCACCACUAGUCACUUAUCCUGCUGUUCAUGUCCCUACAUCAUUUGUAUUGGUUCUAUGUUAUAGCUGCUGCAAACAAUUUAUUAAUGUGGGAUGUGGCUCUAAGUCCAAUUCUGUUUCUCUUCUCAAGAAAUCCCCUCUGCCUCUGGUGUGCAGCAAGUUGAUGGUUCUGUCUCUGUAUUAUUGUGGAGAUUGGCCAAGUGUUAGUCGAUCUGCAAGCCGGUUUAAGAGCUUGAUUGGACGGUCCAAUUCAACACGGAGCUGAGUGUCUGUUGAAACUUUUCAUCCAUCAAGCGCCGCUUCCAAUUCAACACGGAGCUGAGUGUCUGUUGAAACUUUUCAUCCAUCAAGCGCCGCCUCCGGCCGCCCCGACGACGCCCUCGCCUCCAACCGCCCCGAUGACGCCCUCGCUUCUGCAUUUGGUCCUGAUGUAUUCCUUUGACUAAUGAAUCUAGCAGCAUCAAAGUCCAGAAUAUCCAAAAUGCCUUGGCUUGCUGAACCCUUGUGCUGGUUAGAAAUGCAGAAUUGUGAUAUUGUGCUGGGAGCACUCUUGUUACAGUCAUAAGUUAGAUUUCAGCUUUGCAUCUUUUCAGGUUUAACUGUUGGUUUACAUUGAAAUUGUUAAGCAAGUACCAAAUUGAGUGCAUAGUGUGCAAUUUGUAUUUAGUAAUCUAGUAGCUCAUAAGCAUCAGACCAUAUGUUUUCUUAUAAGCACACUAAAUUGAUGGUUGAAAGAUUUUAUAUGCUUCUGAUGCAUGAUUCUUCUAAUGCUAGGUGAUUUGUUUCUUGGAAUUUGGAAGAGGAAGAAGAUGAAGCGUGGUGGUUAUCUAUCAAUAUGCCUUGUGUUCUAGUUGUACUUCAUAGGUAGUUACAUUGUAUUCUGUAUUGGUCUGGUUGUAUGAACACUAUGUAAAGAUUGUAAUAGGCUAAUUUUGGACGGUAUAUAGUUCUGUUUCAUUUGAAAUAUUUGUCAUUUGUGUACUGUGAAAAUGUGAGAAAUAGAAAGUUGAUGAGUUGGACUUAUUGGUAGAGGCCAAGGCCCAAAACGUAAAUAGCCUG